Passer domesticus (house sparrow) is the source of this 1323-nucleotide RNA transcript. It is a transcript of the gene named IQ motif and SEC7 domain-containing protein 1-like, with no coding region annotated. Lineage: Eukaryota; Metazoa; Chordata; Aves; Passeriformes; Passeridae. The record is from RefSeq and is a predicted model, not a curated record. The transcript is spliced from 3 exons.
AGUGGAUAAGGUGAUCAUGGGAUCUGUUCCAUGAAAAAAAAAUAUCCCCUUAGAUUUUUUUUUUCCCUACUGUUUUUGAUAUAUAUUGCAUAUUGUGCCUUAAGGGCAGCAGCUACAUAAAGAUAUCUCUCAGUAUUUGUUCAGUAUUUGACAGUUAGGCUGUUCCAAUGUACCUUAGGGAUUUUUAUUCUAAUUUUAUGCUGUCAGACUUUUAUUUCUCUGACUUUGUAUCCUCUGUGGUAAUAUUACUAAAAGCUUUCCGGUUUUGUGGGUAUUUUUAUUAAAAGAAAAGUAAUUGUAUUAAUCAGAGCUUAGUUUUUCUUGCCUUUUUCUUCCAGAUUAUCCCAAUGGCAUUCGGCUCACGUCAGCUGUUCCAGGAGCAGAUAUCAAAGUACUCAUAAAUUUCAAUGCACCAAAUCCUCAGGACAGGAAGAAGUUUACAGAUGAUUUGAGGGAAUCAAUUGCAGAAGUUCAAGAAAUGGAAAAGCACAGAAUAGAGUCCGAGCUGGAGAAGCAGAAGGGGGUGGUGCGUCCCAGCAUGUCGCAGUGCUCCAGCCUGAAGAAGGACUCCGGGAACGGGACCCUGCCCCGGCCGUGCCUGGACGACAGCUACGCCGGCGGCGAGGGGCUGAAGCGGAGCGCGCUCAGCUCCUCCCUGCGCGACCUGUCCGAAGCAGACUAGGCCUGGAAAGGGAAGGAAAGCUCCUGGUCUCUGUGUGACGAGCGCUUUCUGUGUACUCUGUGCUCAAGUGUACCUGUGUCACCACCUCGAUGAAUGAAACUGAGUGAAGCCCUACUAAAUUCUCUCUAGAGCUGUGUAACACCAGUGUGCCCCUGAUGCUCUUUUCUGGUUCUGUAACUCAGACACAGUUCCUAAUUCUUGCAAAAAGAGGUUGUUGUGAAGUACUCUUUGCAACAGAACCAAAGAAGCCCUAUUGGACAAGGAUGCUGAUAACCCACAAAGCCACUGAUGUGUCUUAAGUUUUAUUAACUGGUUAAAGACUGGAAAGCAGUGGUGAUACAAUUUGUUAGCCAAAGCAAGCCAGGGGAAGUUGGGCAUGUUUUUAUUUGAUGGUUUGCCUCACACCUGGCAUAGCCAUGUAAUCUUUCAGUGUUAAAGAUUCCUGUCACUGACAAGAACUCUUAUCUGAACACCAUGUCCACUAUUCAGAAAGUACUUCCAUAGAUAGUAGCAACUCUAUUUUUUUUAGUUAUUUGGUUUUUAGUUCAUAGGCUGUGUUGCAUACUCUGCUUUGUUCUUUCAAUUGCAGUGAUGAUGUCCAGUGUAGUCAUAAUUUCAAUAUUCUGUAUAUCUUUGGUAGU